GUGUCAGCCGCCGCGGUAAUACGUAGGUGGCAAGCGUUAUCCGGAUUUACUGGGCGUAAAGAGUGCGUAGGCGGUUCUUCAAGUCGGAUGUGAAAUCUCCCGGCUUAACCGGGAGGGGUCAUUCGAAACUGUUGGACUAGAGGACAGCAGGGGGAGGUGGAAUUCCCGGUGUAGUGGUGAAAUGCGUAGAUAUCGGGAGGAACACCAGUGGCGAAGGCGGCCUCCUGGGCUGUUUCUGACGCUGAGGCUCGAAAGUGUGGGGAGCGAACAGGAUUAGAUACCCUGGUAGUCCACACUGUAAACAAUGGACACUAGGUAUGGGGAGUAUCGACCCUUUCUGUGCCGAAGCUAACGCUUUAAGUGUCCCGCCUGGGGACUACGGCCGCAAGGCUAAAACUUAAAGGAAUUGGCGGGG
RNAcentral lists this ribosomal RNA (415 nucleotides) under uncultured prokaryote. Its description in RNAcentral is "bacterial SSU rRNA". It matches the Rfam family "Bacterial small subunit ribosomal RNA", at positions 505 to 918 of the family's 1533-position model. The record is from RNAcentral.